UACGGGGGGGGCAAGCGUUGUUCGGAAUUACUGGGCGUAAAGGGCUCGUAGGCGGCCAACUAAGUCAGACGUGAAAUCCCCAGGCUUAACCUGGGAACUGCGUCUGAUACUGGAUGGCUUGAAUUCGGGAGAGGGAUGCAGAAUUCCAGGUGUAGCGGUGAAAUGCGUAGAUAUCUGGAGGAAUACCGGUGGCGAAGGCGGCAUCCUGGACCGAGACUGACGCUGAGGCGCGAAAGCGUGGGGAGCAAACAGG
Molecule: ribosomal RNA, 253 nt
Filed under: uncultured bacterium
Lineage: Bacteria
Description: partial 16S ribosomal RNA
Rfam family: Bacterial small subunit ribosomal RNA
Source: RNAcentral